UCCGUGUUAACCACGGCAGUCUCUCUAGAGUGCCCAACUUAAUGCUGGCAACUAAAGACAAGGGUUGCGCUCGUUGCGGGACUUAACCCAACAUGUCACCACACGAGCUGACGACAGCCAUGCAGCACCUGUCACUUGGUCGUAUUGCUACGAAAGCCGUAUCUCUACGGAUGUCCAAGGAUGUCAAACCCAGGUAAGGUUUUUCGCGUUGCUUCGAAUUAAACCACAUGAUCCACCGCUUGUGCGGGCCCCCGUCAAUUCCUUUGAGUUUUAGUCUUGCGACCGUACUUCCCAGGCGGGGAACUUAUCGCGUUAGCUCCGACUCGGCGGGGGUCAAGACCCACCAAGUCUAGUUCCCAUCGUUUACGGCGUGGACUAC
RNAcentral lists this unclassified non-coding RNA (379 nucleotides) under uncultured Oligoflexales bacterium. RNAcentral's name for it is "contains 16S-23S intergenic spacer region". The record is from RNAcentral. Lineage: Bacteria; Pseudomonadati; Bdellovibrionota; Oligoflexia; Oligoflexales.